GGAGUAUAUGUGGCAAUGCUUUGACCCCGAAACGUGGUGUUUUUGGCAAGACCGGGGAUCUGCAGUCAAUACUGUGCCUGGCCUGUGCAAGAGAUGAAGUCACUUAUUCUGGUGCACUCAAUGGGGAUAUAUAUGUGUGGAAGGGGAUUAAUCUUGCCCGAACAGUUCAAGGUGCCCAUGGGUCAGGAAUUUUCAGCAUGAAUGCUUGCGAGGAAGGAUUUGCCACUGGGGGGCGAGAUGGUUGUGUUCGCCUGUGGGAUUUAAAUUUCAAACCAAUUACUGUGAUUGAUCUCAGGGAAACAGACCAAGGAUAUAAAGGUCUCUCAGUGAGGAGUGUGUGCUGGAGAGGUGAUCAUAUCCUGGUGGGUACUCAGGAUAGCGAGAUAUUCGAGAUCGUGGUUCACGAUCGGAACAAGCCUUUCCUGAUUAUGCAGGGCCACUGCGAGGGGGAGCUCUGGGCCCUGGCUGUUCAUCCCACAAAGCCUUUAGCGAUGACUGGGAGCGA
Polyodon spathula (Mississippi paddlefish) is the source of this 505-nucleotide long non-coding RNA. RefSeq lists it as uncharacterized. NCBI's taxonomy places the organism in Eukaryota, Metazoa, Chordata, Actinopteri, Acipenseriformes, Polyodontidae. The transcript has 3 exons. The record is from RefSeq and is a predicted model, not a curated record.